AUUGAACGCUGGCGGCAGGCUUAACACAUGCAAGUCGAGCGGGGUGAUGGUGCUUGCACUAUCACUUAGCGGCGGACGGGUGAGUAAUGCUUAGGAAUCUGCCUAUUAGUGGGGGACAACAUCUCGAAAGGGAUGCUAAUACCGCAUACGUCCUACGGGAGAAAGCAGGGGAUCACUUGUGCCCUUGCGCUAAAUAGAUGAGCCUAAGUCGGAUUAGCUAUUUGGUGGGGUAAAGGCCUACCAAGGCGACGAUCUGUAGCGGGUCUGAGAGGAUGAUCCGCCACACUGGGACUGAGACACGGACCAGACUCCUACGGGAGGCAGCAGUGGGGAAUAUUGGACAAUGGGGGGAACCCUGAUCCAGCCAUGCCGCGUGUGUGAAGAAGGCCUUAUGGUUGUAAAGCACUUUAAGCGAGGAGGAGGCUCUUUUGGUUAAUACCCAAGAUGAGUGGACGUUACUCGCAGAAUAAGCACCGGCUAACUCUGUGCCAGCCGCCGCCGUAA
RNAcentral lists this ribosomal RNA (504 nucleotides) under uncultured bacterium. RNAcentral describes it as "partial 16S ribosomal RNA". It matches the Rfam family "Bacterial small subunit ribosomal RNA", at positions 30 to 523 of the family's 1533-position model. The record is from RNAcentral.